RNAcentral lists this ribosomal RNA (429 nucleotides) under Bacteroidota bacterium. RNAcentral describes it as "Bacteroidetes bacterium partial 16S ribosomal RNA". It matches the Rfam family "Bacterial small subunit ribosomal RNA", at positions 355 to 776 of the family's 1533-position model. The record is from RNAcentral. Lineage: Bacteria; Pseudomonadati; Bacteroidota.
UAGGGAAUCUUCGGCAAUGGGGGGAACCCUGACCGAGCAACGCCGCGUGAGUGAAGAAGGUUUUCGGAUCGUAAAGCUCUGUUGUUAAGGAAGAACGAGUGUGAGAAUGGAAAGUUCAUACUGUGACGGUACUUAACCAGAAAGGGACGGCUAACUACGUGCCAGCAGCCGCGGUAAUACGUAGGUCCCGAGCGUUGUCCGGAUUUAUUGGGCGUAAAGCGAGCGCAGGCGGUUAGAUAAGUCUGAAGUUAAAGGCAGUGGCUCAACCAUUGUAGGCUUUGGAAACUGUUUAACUUGAGUGCAGAAGAGGAGAGUGGAAUUCCAUGUGUAGCGGUGAAAUGCGUAGAUAUAUGGAGGAACACCAGUGGCGAAGGCGACUCUCUGGUCUGUAACUGACGCUGAGGCUCGAAAGCGUGGGUAGCAGACAGG